Non-coding RNA from Podarcis lilfordi (Lilford's wall lizard), 321 nucleotides. The record is from the annotation of a GenBank genome assembly. Lineage: Eukaryota; Metazoa; Chordata; Lepidosauria; Squamata; Lacertidae.
GGAUGUGAGGGCGAUCUGGCUGCGACAUCUGUCACCCCAUUGAUCGCCAGGGUUGAUUCGGCUGAUCUGGCUGGCUAGGCGGGUGUCCCCUUCCUCCCUCACCGCUCCAUGUGCGUCCCUCCCGAAGCUGCGCGCUCGGUGGAAGAGGACGACCAUCCCAGAUAGAAGGAGUGUACCGUUCUUCGGUCAAGGGUAUACGAUAGCUGCGCUCCCCUGCUAGAACCUCCAUACAAGCUCAAGAGGUAAAAUUUUAGUCAUCUUCAUAUGAUAGUCAUAUUUGAGAGCUGUCACAUAGAUAAUGGAGUAAUUCAUUUCUGUUGU